Non-coding RNA from Pelobates cultripes (western spadefoot toad), 267 nucleotides. The record is from the annotation of a GenBank genome assembly. Lineage: Eukaryota; Metazoa; Chordata; Amphibia; Anura; Pelobatidae.
CUGAAUUCUACCACCAGCCUUUGUCAAACUUUUGGGUAGUAAUCUUUUUUUGUUUCUUUGUCACACACAUUAUAAUUUAGGCAUGCAUUAACAGAUCCUGUUAUGUGUCACUGCCAAACACUGCCCAAUAUGUUCAGCAACAUCUCCCAAGUACAGUGAUACCCCCAUGUAUAGGGUUGCUGGGUUGUUUGGAGGCCAAAAGGCAACAAACAGAACUUGAACGUGUCCGUUUUUCAAAUUGAUAUAUAGGUAUGCUUGGUCUAUCUU